This 342-nucleotide ribosomal RNA is filed under the name Triticum aestivum (bread wheat). RNAcentral's name for it is "partial small subunit ribosomal RNA". Lineage: Eukaryota; Viridiplantae; Streptophyta; Magnoliopsida; Poales; Poaceae. The record is from RNAcentral.
AUGGAAAGGAAAAAGGAGACAUGGAGAACACUACGGGUCCUAAAACAACAACACCAGGGAGGGAGACCUUGGCUCUGUAUUGGUGACUUCAAUGAGAUACUGACGAGUACAGAGAAAACAGGAGGAGCAGCUCGACCCAAACACUAUCUAGAUGGUUUCCGGGAGGCUAUGCAAGUUUGUGAACUAGAGGACAUUGGGUUCGAAGGAGAUAUGUACACAUGGAGGAACCAUAGCAAAGAAAGGUUAGACAGAGCCAUAGCAAAUGAGGAGUGGUGCAUGCAGUUCCCGGACUAUGCAGUUAUCAAUGGUACGCCUAGACACUCUGAUCAUCGCCCUGUUGUU